RNAcentral lists this ribosomal RNA (382 nucleotides) under uncultured eukaryote. RNAcentral's name for it is "partial 18S ribosomal RNA". It matches the Rfam family "Eukaryotic small subunit ribosomal RNA", at positions 592 to 976 of the family's 1831-position model. The record is from RNAcentral.
UGUAAGCGUAUACCAAAAUUGUUGCAGUUAAAACGCUCGUAGUCGGAAUUUGGCAGUUCCGGAUGUGUGCACGUCGUGUGCGCACUUCGCGGGGAUUGCUUUUGUGGUCUUGCGUAGGAUGAGGCACUUUUAUUAGUGAACGUCCUCACGCAACCACUUUUUACUGUGAGAAAAUCAGAGUGCUCAAAGCAGGCAUUUGCCGUGAAUGUAUUAGCAUGGAAUAAUAGAAUAGGACUUGGUUCUAUUUUGCUGGUUUGUUGGGACUGAGUAAUGAUUAAGAGGGACAGUUGGGGGCAUUUGUAUUUCGGUGCUAGAGGUGAAAUUCUUAGAUUACCGAAAGACAAACUGCUGCGAAAGCGUCUGCCAAGGAUGUUUUCAUUGA